Molecule: long non-coding RNA, 180 nt
Organism: Sinocyclocheilus anshuiensis
Lineage: Eukaryota; Metazoa; Chordata; Actinopteri; Cypriniformes; Cyprinidae
Exons: 2
Source: RefSeq, a predicted model, not a curated record
UCGGCCGUGAAUGGCAAGGUGUGUCUGAUUGUUGUGGGGGCACAGGAAAGGAUCUAACUAAAGAUUGUUGACAGCGUGAUUGUCUAAAGACUUUGGCAGCUUGGGUCGUCAAUCUAUUACUCAGCCUUCCCUGAUGAUUCUCAAAGGUUCGGUCUCUAGGCAAACAAAACAGAACAAAAU